RNAcentral lists this ribosomal RNA (579 nucleotides) under Grosmannia aoshimae. Its description in RNAcentral is "eukaryotic LSU rRNA". It matches the Rfam family "Eukaryotic large subunit ribosomal RNA", at positions 36 to 639 of the family's 3401-position model. The record is from RNAcentral. Lineage: Eukaryota; Fungi; Ascomycota; Sordariomycetes; Ophiostomatales; Ophiostomataceae.
UUGCAUAUCAAUAAAGCGGAGGAAAAGAAACCAACAGGGAUUGCCCCAGUAACGGCGAGUGAAGCGGCAACAGCUCAGAUUUGGAAUCUGGCCUUCGGGCCCGAGUUGUAAUCUGGAGAGGAUGCUUCUGGCGCGGUGCCUUCCGAGUUCCCUGGAACGGGACGCCGGAGAGGGUGAGAGCCCCGUACGGUUGGACACCUAGCCUUUGUGAAGCUCCUUCGACGAGUCGAGUAGUUUGGGAAUGCUGCUCAAAAUGGGAGGUAAAUUUCUUCUAAAGCUAAAUAUUGGCCAGAGACCGAUAGCGCACAAGUAGAGUGAUCGAAAGAUGAAAAGCACUUUGAAAAGAGGGUUAAAAAGUACGUGAAAUUGUUGAAAGGGAAGCGCCCGUGGCCAGACUUGCGCUGCGCGGACCACCCAGCGUUCUCGCUGGUGCACUCCGCGCGGCGCAGGCCAGCAUCGGUUUUCCUAGGGGGAUAAAGGUUGCGGGAACGUAGCUCCUUCGGGAGUGUUAUAGCCCGUGGCGUCAUGCCCCUGGGGGGACCGAGGACCGCGCUUCGGCAAGGAUGCUGGCNAAUGGCC